This 462-nucleotide long non-coding RNA is filed under the name Gallus gallus (chicken). Lineage: Eukaryota; Metazoa; Chordata; Aves; Galliformes; Phasianidae. The record is from RNAcentral.
GGAAGCAGCCCCAGUGUCACGAUCUGUGGGGUAGAUGGUAUCUGAUCUCAAAGAGAAGAGGGAGAGAGGAAUGAAGCCCGUCAGCAUCCCUGCUUGGAAACACACCUGCCCACGGUGGGUCUGUCCCACGGCAGGUAUGGUGCUCUGCUCCCAGGACCCUGCCAGCCCAAGCUCAGACAUUCUCCAGCUGCCACGUGUGAAGGCCCCUGUGCUUGUACAGCACUGCAAUGCCAGGGAGGCAAAACGCAUCCCCUGUCUGGUGCUGGACAUCAGGAUGAACUCACAAGAUUGCAGGAUUCUGGAGCUGACAGCAAAUAGCAAUUCCUGGACUUAAGGUGUUAAAAAGACUAAAAGACAGAACAUUAGCUCAUCUUAUUCAAGAUUCUUGUAGGAAGAUUUUUGCACUAUGAUGAUUGAACAAAGAUAUUUUUCUGUGCAAAAGAACCAUUUAAGGUAUUGGAC